CCAGGGGCUGGCUAUGCUUUGACUAAGCCACACCCCUUCUCAACUUCCACCUCGAGGAGGUCCCCAAAGCCAACCCAAUGGCCAAACAACACGAGAACAAAUGGGCUAUGGCCGGGAAGAGGUCAGGGAGCAAGGGGGCCACGGGGAUCCGGGGCGUGGGACUCGGGCCCCGGCCUGAGUCUUAGGUAUCCGUAGCGCCCUCCUUCUUCCUCCUCUUCGCUGAUUGCAGCUCACAGUAUCAACUUGGACGCAAAGCACAGUUACUCUGCUUUGGAUGGCUUUCACCUCUGGGCUGGACACAGCGUACUGUGCUAUCUCCGGAGAUCUGAAGCACGCGCACAACAUAUACUGUACUGAACUAGGCUAGGACCAGCAGUCUCCUUGUCCUCCCGCGACGAAG
Molecule: long non-coding RNA, 400 nt
Organism: Cyprinus carpio carpio
Lineage: Eukaryota; Metazoa; Chordata; Actinopteri; Cypriniformes; Cyprinidae
Source: Ensembl